UGUGUGUGUGUGUAUGUUUACCCGGAAGAAUAUAUAUGUUAAUGAUGUAUAUUAAUCAUGAGGUCUCAUUCAUUCCCAUGUACAGUAUUGUGGUAUCUAAUACUGUUUGACCUUUCAACUUUUGCGAGUUAGCCAAUGAUAUCUCCGGCAAAUAAAAACCGUCCGAGAUUGAGAAAUUUACUGUGGAGGAUGUACACAAUGUGACAACAACAAUCUACAGGUUUGAAAUUGGUGACAGACAAAAACUAUAUACUUUAAAAAAGAGUAGACAGUUAGCAUUGCACAAUUCCAUAACAUCCUUUUAGACAACCAGUGAUACCAUAACAGAAUGGGGAACAUAUUUUCAUCCUGUAAGAAAAUCGACAUUUCGGAUCAGUCAUUACCUCAAGUACAGAGUCGUCAAACCAGGGCACCUAAAAGUGACACUUACAUUGAGCCAUUCAGAAUGCCUAGUACUGACUCGGGAUUCAGAAGCCUACAAGAUCACGUUUAUGGGGCAAAAUUCAUUGCUGAAAAU
This is a long non-coding RNA of Ruditapes philippinarum (Manila clam), 517 nucleotides long. RefSeq lists it as uncharacterized. The transcript is spliced from 4 exons. Lineage: Eukaryota; Metazoa; Mollusca; Bivalvia; Venerida; Veneridae. The record is from RefSeq and is a predicted model, not a curated record.